This 497-nucleotide ribosomal RNA is filed under the name uncultured bacterium. RNAcentral's name for it is "partial 16S ribosomal RNA". It matches the Rfam family "Bacterial small subunit ribosomal RNA", at positions 28 to 507 of the family's 1533-position model. The record is from RNAcentral.
GACGAACGCUGGCGGCGUGCCUAAUACAUGCAAGUAGAACGCUGAAGAGAGGAGCUUACUCUUCUUGGAUGAGUUGCGAACGGGUGAGUAACGCGUAGGUAACCUGCCUUGUAGCGGGGGAUAACUAUUGGAAACGAUAGCUAAUACCGCAUAACAAUGGAUGACACACGUCAUUUAUUUGAAAGGGGCAAUUGCUCCACUACAAGAUGGACCUGCGUUGUAUUAGCUAGUAGGUGAGGUAAUGGUUCACCUAGGCGACGAUACAUAGCCGACCUGAGAGGGUGAUCGGCCACACUGGGACUGAGACACGGCCCAGACUCCUACGGGAGGCAGCAGUAGGGAAUCUUCGGCAAUGGGGGCAACCCUGACCGAGCAACGCCGCGUGAGUGAAGAAGGUUUUCGGAUCGUAAAGCUCUGUUGUAAGUCAAGAACGGGUGUGAGAGUGGAAAGUUCACACUGUGACGGUAGCUUACCAGAAAGGGACGGCUAACUACGUG